Molecule: RNA transcript, 2567 nt
Organism: Dermochelys coriacea (leatherback sea turtle)
Lineage: Eukaryota; Metazoa; Chordata; Testudines; Dermochelyidae
Gene: C7H3orf18
Gene name: chromosome 7 C3orf18 homolog
Exons: 6
Source: RefSeq, a predicted model, not a curated record
GAGAUCAAAGCAGGAGAUCAGAGAAAGGGGAGGAGGGGUGGGCAGCUCCUGGCAUCUUGGAAAAUACAAUGGCAAGCAGCGCAAUAACAGCAGCCGCGGGUCCUCUAUCUCCGGUGCAAGCAACCUGAGUUCCACUGCCCAGGGCGGCUCGUCAGCCCUGUCUCCACCAAACCAAGAAUUAUCCAUCUGCUAAGGUCGCUCUUUGCUGUCCAUUGGAAGCAGCUUUCUGUAUGAGAGGGCAAUUUGUUUCUAUCCCCUAGCGUGCACACAUUCACACACACGGCGCCCAACGUUUUGCACUUCUGCUCUUGUCCCAGUUGCGGUGUGAGACGACGAGGUUAGACAGCAGCUCUCCGGGGACAAGGCCAGCGGCUACUGUUUCUGUGUGGGCUGUGGGUAGUCCCUCCGCCUGCCGGCUCGGGAGGCUUGGCCUGGGCUACUCUUCCAGUCUGAGACGGACGACUGGAACCAGAAGGGGACUCGAUUCCUCAUCUGGGAGGAAUUAAGGAGAAGCAACAGGAUUCCCUCAAAGAAGGGCCAACAAGGACGAUGUUGCACAACAGCGCUCACAGGAGCGCCCUUGACAUAAGGAGAGACCCUAUGACUUAGUAGCAGAAAUCGAAGAGUCCCAAGUGGGUGGAGACAGUUCAGUAAGAGAGGACGUGGGGCUCUUGUCCAGGAUGAGUUACAGCAUGCCCUCUGUACAUGAUUUGUACCGCAGCACCACUACCAUCUCUGUGUCAGACCCAGGGUCAACUAUGGACAGGGCUCUACCAGAAACUGCUACCAUAAACCCUGAAACCACCAGCUUUAACAGCACCAAAAUCCCAGAUGUGGUCAGCAGUGGGCCCGGCCUGAGCACAAUGCUUCUCUCAUUUGGAAUCAUUACUAUGAUUGGGUUGGCUGUAGCAAUGGUUCUCUAUAUCAGGAAGAGGAAGAGGUUAGAGAAGCUGCGGCACCAGCUCAUGCCCAUGUACAAUUUCGACCCCACAGAAGAACAGGAUGAGCUGGAACAAGAGCUGCUGGAGCAUGGGAGAGAUGCUGCAUCUUCCCAGGCCACCCAGAGCAAGAUCCUCCUGAUGAACCAGGGAAUCGUCCAGAGACCCAGCCGCCUUGUGUUCACAGACGUCGCUAACGCUAUCAAUGCAUGAAUGACACCUGCCCCUGCUUUGGAUCACUGGGAGGACGGAGCCAACCAGUUACAUACCACAAGCAUGGAUGAGGAUACCGAGCUUACCGACCACCCCAUCAGUUUGUGCUGCGACUGAGGAGCAGUUCUGGGCAUUUACACAUUUCAGGCAGCAAAUGCUUGGUGGUGGCUGACUGCAGCAACUUUUGGUGCAUCCAUCGCUACCAAAGGGCCCUGAGCUGCCAUGCUCAGAUUUCAGGAGCGAUCCCGGAAAAAUGGCUGAGCACAUAUACCCAAUGCAUGCUGAAUCAGCAUGUUCCAAGCACAGUACUAGACACUGAAUACUCGAGCAGAAUAUACUCCCCCUCCAUGAGAAAAAAUAUCAACAGGUUGAGAUCGACAAUCUGGCUUGCAGAGUUUCUGCUGAAUGCUUCUCUCUGGGGGAGAGCAAACUGGGGUGAGACAAUCCACCUUGCAGAUCACAAGGAUGCAUGAUCAAGGAGUAUAGAAGCCAGGGCUUCUGUGGUUGGAACUUCUGCUCUGCCAGCCCACUUCUGGACAAGCCACAUUCUCAUGGACAUCCCCACUCAUACCAAUAAUAAAUCCUUCUGAGGUUGCAAAAAAAGUGGGGAUGAAUACUGCUUGAAGAAGCACUGAGAGUCUCUUGCUGAUAUACACUAGACUAUCUACCAGGAUUGCAGAGACAAUAGGAAUUGUAGACAAUUGAUAAGGGAAGCAAAAGGACACAAGGCGAACUCUACAGCCAGCGGAGUUAAGGACAACAAGGAGGUUUCUUAAUAUAUUGGUCUAUUACAGAUGGAAAUGAUAGAAUUAUCAACAACAUAGAUAAGGCAGAAGUGUUUAAUAAAUAUUUCUGUUCUGUAUUUGGGGAAAAAACAGAUUGUCAUGUCAUCUGAUGAUGACAUUCUUUCCAUUCUAUCUCAUGGGGAUAUUAAACAACAGCUACUAAAGUUAAAUAUUUUUAAAAUCAGCAAGUCCAGCUAACUUUCAUCCAAGAGUUUUAAAGAACACUGAGGAGCUUGUUGGAUUGCUAAUGUUGAUUUUCAAUUAGACUUCGAACACUGGGGAAGUUCCAGAAGACUGGAAGAAAGCAAAUGAUUUGCUAAUAUUUAAAAAGGGUAAACAGGGUGACCUGGGCAAUUAUAGACCUAUCAAUCUCAGGCAAGAUAAUGGAGUGGCUGCUAGGGGACUCAAUUAACUAAGAAAUAAAGGAAGGAAAUAUAAUUAAUACCAAUAAACAUGGGUUUACGGAAAGUAGAGCCUUUUAUUUUUGACAAGAUUACAAGUUUGGUUGAUAAAGGUAAUAGUAUUGAUGUAAUAGAAUUCUGUAAGCCAUUUGGCUUGGUACAGCAUGAUGUUUUGAUAAAAUCAAAAUGAUAUAAAAUAUAAUGGUACACAUUAAAUAGAUUAAAAACUG